GUCCCCGUAGUUCAACAGGAUAGAACGAGUCCCUCCUAAGGACUAAAUGGGGGUUCGAGUCCUCCCGGGGACACC
RNAcentral lists this transfer RNA (75 nucleotides) under bacterium HR34. RNAcentral describes it as "tRNA-Arg". It matches the Rfam family "tRNA". Rfam says of the family: Transfer RNA (tRNA) molecules are approximately 80 nucleotides in length. Their secondary structure includes four short double-helical elements and three loops (D, anti-codon, and T loops). Further hydrogen bonds mediate the characteristic L-shaped molecular structure. tRNAs have two regions of fundamental functional importance: the anti-codon, which is responsible for specific mRNA codon recognition, and the 3' end, to which the tRNAs corresponding amino acid is attached (by aminoacyl-tRNA synthetases). tRNAs cope with the degeneracy of the genetic code in two manners: having more than one tRNA (with a specific anti-codon) for a particular amino acid; and 'wobble' base-pairing, i.e. permitting non-standard base-pairing at the 3rd anti-codon position. The record is from RNAcentral.